This 2176-nucleotide ribosomal RNA is filed under the name seawater metagenome. Its description in RNAcentral is "bacterial LSU rRNA". It matches the Rfam family "Bacterial large subunit ribosomal RNA", at positions 478 to 2643 of the family's 2925-position model. The record is from RNAcentral.
AACUGACCGAUAGUGAACCAGUACCGUGAGGGAAAGGCGAAAAGAACCCCUGUGAGGGGAGUGAAAUAGAACCUGAAACCGUGUACGUACAAGCAGUAGGAGCAGACUUGUUCUGUGACUGCGUACCUUUUGUAUAAUGGGUCAGCGACUUAUAUUUUGUAGCGAGGUUAACCGAUUAGGGUAGCCGUAGGGAAACCGAGUCUUAACUGGGCGAAUAGUUGCAAGGUAUAGACCCGAAACCCGGUGAUCUAGCCAUGGGCAGGUUGAAGGUUGAGUAACAUCAACUGGAGGACCGAACCCACUAACGUUGAAAAGUUAGGGGAUGACCUGUGGCUAGGAGUGAAAGGCUAAUCAAACCGGGAGAUAGCUGGUUCUCCCCGAAAUCUAUUUAGGUAGAGCCUCGGACGAAUACUUACGGGGGUAGAGCACUGUUAAGGCUAGGGGGUCAUCCCGACUUACCAACCCUUUGCAAACUCCGAAUACCGUAAAGUAAUAUCCGGGAGACACACGGCGGGUGCUAACGUCCGUCGUGAAGAGGGAAACAACCCAGACCGCCAGCUAAGGUCCCAAAGUCAUAGUUAAGUGGGAAACGAUGUGGAAAGGCCCAGACAGCCAGGAGGUUGGCUUAGAAGCAGCCAUCCUUUAAAGAAAGCGUAAUAGCUCACUGGUCGAGUCGGUCUGCGCGGAAGAUGUAACGGGGCUAAACUAUGCACCGAAGCUGCGGAUUCAGAAUUUAUUCUGAGUGGUAGGGGAGCGUUCUGUAAGCGGUUGAAGGUGUACCGGGAGGUAUGCUGGACGUAUCAGAAGUGCGAAUGCUGACAUGAGUAACGAUAAUGCGGGUGAAAAACCCGCACGCCGGAAGACCAAGGGUUCCUAUCCCAUGUUAAUCAGGGUAGGGUAAGUCGACCCCUAAGGCGAGGCCGAAAGGCGUAGUCGAUGGGAAACGGAUUAAUAUUUCCGUACUUGGUAUAAUUGCGAUGGGGGGACGGAGCAGGCUAAGCAAGCAUGGCGAUGGUAGUCCAUGUGAAAGUGUGUAGGCUAGUGACUUAGGUAAAUCCGGGUUGCUGUUAGGCUGAGACACGAGACGAGUCACCACGGUGAUGAAGUUGCUGAUGCCAUACUUCCAGGAAAAGCCUCUAAGCUUCAGAUUAUACCGAAUCGUACCCCAAACCGACACAGGUGGUCAGGUAGAGAAUACUAAGGCGCUUGAGAGAACUCGGGUGAAGGAACUAGGCAAAAUCGUACCGUAACUUCGGGAGAAGGUACGCUCCGAUUGGUGAUGAGACUUGCUCUCUAAGCUGAUUGGAGCCGCAGUGACCAGGUGGCUGGGACUGUUUAUUAAAAACACAGCACUGUGCAAAAUCGCAAGAUGACGUAUACGGUGUGACACCUGCCCGGUGCCGGAAGGUUAAUUGAUGGGGUUAUCUUCGGAGAAGCUCUUGAUCGAAGCCCCGGUAAACGGCGGCCGUAACUAUAACGGUCCUAAGGUAGCGAAAUUCCUUGUCGGGUAAGUUCCGACCUGCACGAAUGGUGUAACCAUGGCCACGCUGUCUCCACCCGAGACUCAGUGAAAUUGAAAUCGCAGUGAAGAUGCUGUGUACCCGCGGCUAGACGGAAAGACCCCGUGAACCUUUACUACAGCUUGGCACUGAACAUUGAACCUACAUGUGUAGGAUAGGUGGGAGACUUUGAAGAUGAGACGCUAGUCUUGUUGGAGUCGUCCUUGAAAUACCACCCUUGUAGUUUUGAUGUUCUAACGUUGGCCCCUGAAUCGGGGUUACGGACAGUGCCUGGUGGGUAGUUUGACUGGGGCGGUCUCCUCCCAAAGAGUAACGGAGGAGCACGAAGGUUGGCUAAGUACGGUCGGACAUCGUACGGUUAGUGUAAUGGUAGAAGCCAGCUUAACUGCGAGACAGACACGUCGAGCAGGUACGAAAGUAGGUCAUAGUGAUCCGGUGGUUCUGAAUGGAAGGGCCAUCGCUCAACGGAUAAAAGGUACUCCGGGGAUAACAGGCUGAUACCGCCCAAGAGUUCAUAUCGACGGCGGUGUUUGGCACCUCGAUGUCGGCUCAUCACAUCCUGGGGCUGAAGUCGGUCCCAAGGGUAUGGCUGUUCGCCAUUUAAAGUGGUACGCGAGCUGGGUUUAGAACGUCGUGAGACAGUUCGGUCCCUAUCU